This 76-nucleotide transfer RNA is filed under the name Orthemis cultriformis. Its description in RNAcentral is "tRNA-Val". The record is from RNAcentral. Lineage: Eukaryota; Metazoa; Arthropoda; Insecta; Odonata; Libellulidae.
UGAAAAUUUAAUUGUGCAAUUCAGUUUAAUUUGAUAACAAUUUUCUUACUUAUUUUAUUUUUUUUGUUAAGAGAAU